GGGAGGGCGCUAACUGCAGUCGAGCGGAUGAGAGGAGCUUGCUCCUCAAUUCAGCGGCGGACGGGUGAGUAAUGCCUAGGAAUCUGCCUAGUAGUGGGGGACAACGUUUCGAAAGGAACGCUAAUACCGCAUACGUCCUACGGGAGAAAGUGGGGGAUCUUCGGACCUCAAGCUAUUAGAUGAGCCUAGGUCGGAUUAGCUAGUUGGUAGGGUAAAGGUCUACCAAGGGGACCAUCCGUAACUGGGCUGAGAGGAUGAUCCGUCCCACGGGAACUGAGAGACGGUCUGGACUCCUACGGGAGGAAGACUUGGGGAAUAUUGCACCUUGCGCCAAAGUGUGAUCCAGACAU
This 350-nucleotide ribosomal RNA is filed under the name Pseudomonas sp. CT11. Its description in RNAcentral is "bacterial SSU rRNA". It matches the Rfam family "Bacterial small subunit ribosomal RNA", at positions 47 to 391 of the family's 1533-position model. Lineage: Bacteria; Pseudomonadati; Pseudomonadota; Gammaproteobacteria; Pseudomonadales; Pseudomonadaceae. The record is from RNAcentral.